AUGGUGGGCGGUCCUUCUUACUUGGUUGCUAUAAUUAUUGAGUUUCUUCACAGUGUAAAUUUGGGAAAGAUUCAUGUGGCCCCAAAUCUAUAUGUAUUGAUAAUUCAACUUCUGGUGUGGAAUGAACGUUAUGCUGAGUUGGGGUUGUUUGUCGUAAAUAAUAUUUUGGAGCCUUCUAAGAAAGUUGCGUUGCAACUCCUGGAGUCUGGACGUCAGAACACCCAAACUAGGAAGCUUGGUCUGGAUAUGUUGAGACAGCUUGGCUUACAUAAUGAUUAUGUAUUGCUUCUAGUGUAA
This is a non-coding RNA of Vicia faba (fava bean), 297 nucleotides long. The record is from the annotation of a GenBank genome assembly. Lineage: Eukaryota; Viridiplantae; Streptophyta; Magnoliopsida; Fabales; Fabaceae.